Rosa chinensis is the source of this 3036-nucleotide long non-coding RNA. RefSeq lists it as uncharacterized. Lineage: Eukaryota; Viridiplantae; Streptophyta; Magnoliopsida; Rosales; Rosaceae. The record is from RefSeq and is a predicted model, not a curated record. The transcript has 8 exons.
AUAACCGACUUUUAUUGUUAAUGAAAGAAAAAAAGGUGGCAGACAAGUUUCCAUGUUUUAGGCAGUAGUGACAAUGCUUUAUUCCUACUUGAUUGUGCUUGAUCGAAGGAACAAUCAAUCAAGCUUGCAGACACUCUCCCUCUCUCUCACUCUCACUCACACUCUCUCUCUCUCUCUCUCGUCCGAAACCAUCCAAGAAACAGAGCAAUUAUUCUCCAAGCUUGUUCUCGCUCCACAGGGCAUCGAUCGACCCCAGACCACUUCCUAUAGGUUCACCUCGACCUUGCCCAGCUGCAGGUGGCAGCCUUGAACCGUGACACGGCCACCAACGGCGGCGGGAAGCUCCGCCCGGUUUGAGCUCGUUUUGGUUCCAAGCUUGAUAUCUCAAGCUACCGGUCACCAAUCCUCACCAAACUUCAUCCUCGAGCUCACCUCUACCUCAUGAAACUUCCAGAAGUGUCCUUUCACGGCGGCGCUGCGCGUGGUGGCAGCUGGAAGCCAACCCCGAUCAAAAUCAAAAAACCAAGCAAUCGAUCCGGAUAUCUAGAGCUACACACCAUCAUUUCUUGUGAUUCUUGAACUAGUGAGCUCGCCUUGAGUUGCCGAAAAAAUCUCCAGAAGGUAUCGAACCGAGUUGUUGAAGUUUUUACGUUGAUCGGAGCUUCGCCGGAUUCUGGAAAUUUUCCGGCCACCGAAACUUUCGAUCAAGAUAUCUCAAGCUGUAGAGCUUCGUUUUGAGUGAUUCUUGAACCAGUGAGUUCUCCUUGAUGUUCUUAACAACUCUCCAGAAGGGAUCGAGGCCUGAAGUUGAAGUUUUUACGUCGAAAUCAAGCUCGCCGGUUUCUGCAUUGUUCGCCGGUUUCUGGAAAAUCUCCGACCAACCCGACUGGUUCGAGGUGUUUGACGGUUUGAUUUGACAGACGAAUUGUGAUUUUUAUUCGAGUUGUAAGAAGACGCAGCGGGAUUAGAGCGAAGAGGUCAACCGUCUUCCCGCCGUCAAGAGGCCAACGCCCCUCCUGCUACUGGUCAGGCCGCGAAACAAAAAGCAAUAGCGACGGAGCCUGAAGUCGAAGACUUUUCUGAUGAUGAAGACCCACAAAUGAUUGCCGCUGCUCUGGCCUGCAAGCUCAGUCGCUUUGACCGUCGGACCGACCCCUGGACAGAAGAUGAACCACUCACUAACCGACUGGUUCGUCAUAGGUCCAGAGGUCCUUCAAUGCAAAGUGGGAAGGACCGUCUACUGCUAGCGGUGAAGCAUCAUCUUCUCAAGCCCAGAUGCCACCAGCUUCUUCCAACUCUCCAACUCUCCAACUCUGACCCAGGCCGCGAGUAAUCCACAGCUAGCCCUGGUGCCAGUGCAGAUUCAAGAUGACAGCUCUCUUGAGGUAGAAGAAAGAACACCGCCACUGGAUGCUCCUCUCGGUGAACCAGCCGCGACUAAUAUCCUGGAGCAAGUAGCCUCUGACUCAGUUCUAGACACUGCCGAAGUUGCUCAGGAACAAGUGGCAAUCGAAGCUCCAAACCCUCUCAGCUCUUCAGGAACUCCCCGCGAGCCAACUGCAGAAGAGGGUUAGUGUUCUGUCCGCACCGAGGCUGUGAACGCCGCCUCCGAGGAAGCGACUAGCGAGCAUCCCGCUGAACCCGCAGUUGCAGAAGAAGCUGCCCAGGAACCUGCCCAUCAUGCCCCCUAAGUGAUCAAAGUGGGGGAGGAAGUAAAUCCUGAACUUGCGCCGGAGGCAGUUCCUGCCGCGGAGCCUCCUGAAGCUCCUGUCGUUGUUGCUCCAAUUCCACCGCUAGUACCUCCUUCCAGACUAUAGCGGUUGGCCUGUGUGCUUGAAGUGACUCCCCCUGGAGUUGUAGACAAUGCUAGGGAAGGCCUUCACCGUCUUCUGGGUCUUGACAUUCUGACACCUGGCGCACCUGGGAGAGCUUUAGAGUACCUCCGAGUUCUUCUUCGUGAGCGUGCCAUCACUAAAGACCAGUUCCGCGACAUAGACAAGCUGCUGGCCGGAGGAUCUUCCUAUGUGGUUAAAUGAGAAGACAGCCGCGGCUGCGCAGGCUAGACAUGCCCAAACACAUUACCAGGCCCUUACCCAACAGAUCGACACCCGCCAUGAUUUUCUAGGUGACUUGGCUUCUCAAAUCAGAUAAAUGGAGCUCGCGGAGAACCAUCUUUAGUCCCAAAUUCAAGAUCUUCAAGCCCAAUGAACUUUAUCUCUGUAGACUCUGAUACAUCAGCUCAGCUUCAACAAGAAAUAAUACCGGAGGACAAGGUCAUUAAAUCCGGGGAUUAUUUUGUACUGAAAGACAAUCCUGAGACCUCUCUUAUUGCACGUUCUCAUAAAAUGAGUAAGAGUAGGGGAAAUUUUGUCAAUCCUGAUGAUGUUGUUUCUGAGUAUGGGGCAGAUUCACUUCGCUUGUAUGAAAUGUUCAUGGGGCCAUUAAGAGACUCAAAACAAUGGAAUACGAUUGGUAUUGAAGGGGUUCAUUGGUUUUUGGGAAGAGCCUUGUAAGUACAAGAUUUUGUACAUGUUAUUUGUUGGCAUUCCCAUACAAAGCUAGUGAAGUAUAUCAUGACAAUUCAUCACUGAAGAAGCUGGAAAAGGGCCUAAUACUGAUCUCAAAUACGUUACAGGUAAAUGCAUCUCAUGAGUCAGCAUAUGCAUUGGGAUUGCAAUCUGUGUUGCAAUCCUUGAGUCAGUCCUAGGUUUUAGGAAGUUUGUUUUUGGAAAGUAUCUUUCUAUUCUUAAAUUUUAUUAUGCAAAGAUUUUUUUCACCAGUUAAAAUCGUCCCAUUGAAGACCUAAUUGAUUUAGGUCUGUUUAUUUUAAUUGGCAAUCUUUUGUUAAAAAGAUCUUUCCUAAUAGGAAUCAAUUAGGGUUAGACGCAUUGAUUGUACACGAUUCUUUCUCCAUAUAAUUCUGAAAAUAUGGUCUAGGUUUAGAGAGCUUUUAAUUUGCAUAUCAUAUCAAUUUGCAUGUGAUUGAUGCAUAUAUUAUGGGUCUAAACUCUCCAAUUCAAAUAGUGUUUAAGGAAA